RNAcentral lists this ribosomal RNA (303 nucleotides) under uncultured bacterium. Its description in RNAcentral is "bacterial SSU rRNA". It matches the Rfam family "Bacterial small subunit ribosomal RNA", at positions 30 to 334 of the family's 1533-position model. The record is from RNAcentral.
ACUGAACGCUGGCGGCAGGCCUAACACAUGCAAGUCGAGCGCGAAAUCUCCUUCGGGAGUGAGUAGAGCGGCGGACGGGUGAGUAACGCGUAGGAAUCUACCCAGUGGUGGGGGACAACAGUCGGAAACGGCUGCUAAUACCGCAUACGCCCUACGGGGGAAAGCGGGGGACCUUCGGGCCUCGCGCCAUUGGAUGAGCCUGCGUCGGAUUAGCUAGUUGGUAGGGUAAAGGCCUACCAAGGCGACGAUCCGUAGCUGGUCUGAGAGGACGAUCAGCCACACUGGGACUGGGACACGGCCCAG